Molecule: long non-coding RNA, 238 nt
Filed under: Nicotiana benthamiana
Lineage: Eukaryota; Viridiplantae; Streptophyta; Magnoliopsida; Solanales; Solanaceae
Description: long non-coding RNA (NBEN_LNC009257)
Source: RNAcentral
AAAAAAGUAAGUACAAUGUUGUCUAGGAAAUACAUAAAUGAAACAUGAUGAAAGGAUAGGAGGAAAUGCCAAGGCCUGCAGGAUCUCCGAAUAGAUUGAAGGCAUCAACCCCAAAGCUAAGGUCCGUAAGCUCCAGUAUUGGGAUCUGCACACAGUGCAAACUGUAGUAUCAGUACAACCAACCUCAUGUGCUGGUAAGUGCCUAGCAUAACCGCAGGGAAGUAGUGAUGAAGCUAGG